CGCGGGAUGGAGCAGUUCGGUAGCUCGUCGGGCUCAUAACCCGAAGGUCGUUGGUUCAAAUCCAGCUCCCGCAA
This 74-nucleotide transfer RNA is filed under the name Prevotella disiens. RNAcentral describes it as "tRNA-Met". It matches the Rfam family "tRNA". Rfam says of the family: Transfer RNA (tRNA) molecules are approximately 80 nucleotides in length. Their secondary structure includes four short double-helical elements and three loops (D, anti-codon, and T loops). Further hydrogen bonds mediate the characteristic L-shaped molecular structure. tRNAs have two regions of fundamental functional importance: the anti-codon, which is responsible for specific mRNA codon recognition, and the 3' end, to which the tRNAs corresponding amino acid is attached (by aminoacyl-tRNA synthetases). tRNAs cope with the degeneracy of the genetic code in two manners: having more than one tRNA (with a specific anti-codon) for a particular amino acid; and 'wobble' base-pairing, i.e. permitting non-standard base-pairing at the 3rd anti-codon position. RNAcentral also lists the same sequence under 14 other names. The record is from RNAcentral. Lineage: Bacteria; Pseudomonadati; Bacteroidota; Bacteroidia; Bacteroidales; Prevotellaceae.